UGAGGAAUCUUGCGCAAUGGGGGAAACCCUGACGCAGCGACGCCGCGUGCGGGAUGAAGGCCUUCGGGUCGUAAACCGCUUUUCUGGAGGACGAGGAAGGACGGUACUCCAGGAAUAAGUCCCGGCUAACUACGUGCCAGCAGCCGCGGUAAAACGUAGGGGGCGAGCGUUAUCCGGAAUCACUGGGCGUAAAGGGCGUCUAGGCGGUUUUCUAAGUCCUGCGUGAAAGCUCCUGGCUCAACUAGGAGAGCGCGUGGGAGACUGGGAAGCUAGAGACUCGGAGAGGGGUGUGGAAUUCCCGGUGGAGUGGUGAAAUGCGUUGAGAUCGGGAGGAACACCAGUGGCGAAGGCGGCACCCUGGCCGAGUUCUGACGCUGAAGCGCGACAGCGUGGGGAGCAAACGGGAUUAGAUACCCCCGUAGUCC
This 425-nucleotide ribosomal RNA is filed under the name uncultured bacterium. Its description in RNAcentral is "bacterial SSU rRNA". It matches the Rfam family "Bacterial small subunit ribosomal RNA", at positions 355 to 796 of the family's 1533-position model. The record is from RNAcentral.